Molecule: ribosomal RNA, 512 nt
Filed under: uncultured bacterium
Lineage: Bacteria
Description: bacterial SSU rRNA
Rfam family: Bacterial small subunit ribosomal RNA
Source: RNAcentral
GAGUUUGAUCUUGGCUCAGGAUGAACGCUGGCGGCAUGCCUAAUACAUGCAAGUCGAACGAAGUCUUUAGGAAGCUUGCUUCCAAAGAGACUUAGUGGCGAACGGGUGAGUAACACGUAGGUAACCUGCCCAUGUGCCCGGGAUAACUGCUGGAAACGGUAGCUAAAACCGGAUAGGUAUGAGGGAGGCAUCUUCCUCAUAUUAAAGCACCUUCGGGUGUGAACAUGGAUGGACCUGCGGCGCAUUAGCUGGUUGGUGAGGUAACGGCCCACCAAGGCGAUGAUGCGUAGCCGACCUGAGAGGGUGAACGGCCACAUUGGGACUGAGAUACGGCCCAGACUCCUACGGGAGGCAGCAGUGGGGAAUAUUGCACAAUGGGGGAAACCCUGAUGCAGCAACGCCGCGUGAAGGAAGACGGUUUUCGGAUUGUAAACUUCUUUUCUAGUGAAGAAGCAAGUGACGGUAGCUAAGGAAUAAGCAUCGGCUAACUACGUGCCAGCCGCCGCCGUAAU